RNAcentral lists this RNase P RNA (351 nucleotides) under Clostridium sp. 'deep sea'. RNAcentral's name for it is "Bacterial RNase P class A". It matches the Rfam family "Bacterial RNase P class A". From Rfam's summary of the family: Ribonuclease P (RNase P) is a ubiquitous endoribonuclease, found in archaea, bacteria and eukarya as well as chloroplasts and mitochondria. Its best characterised activity is the generation of mature 5'-ends of tRNAs by cleaving the 5'-leader elements of precursor-tRNAs. Cellular RNase Ps are ribonucleoproteins. Lineage: Bacteria; Bacillati; Bacillota; Clostridia; Eubacteriales; Clostridiaceae. The record is from Rfam by way of RNAcentral.
UAAGUAGACUGAGUAAUCGCAGGUACAGUGCUGCAAAGCCGUACUCUGAGGAAAGUCCGGGCUCCAUAGGGCAGGAUGCUUGAUAACGUCAAGUGGGGGUAACCCUAAGGAUAGUGCCACAGAAAUAAACCGCCAACAUAGUUGGUAAGGAUGGAACGGUUGAGGUAAGAGCUCACCAGCGAUUAGGUGACUAAUCGGCUAGGUAAACCCCAUCUGGAGCAAGACCUAAUAGGAAGAAGAUAAGGAUAGCCCGUCCAGUUCUUCGGGUUGGUCGCAUGAAGUGGCAGGCAACUGUCAUUCAAGAUAGAUGAUUACUCACGACAGAACCCGGCUUAUAGGUCUACUUUCAAG